GUCCCUUGGAUGACCAAGGGUAAUUCAGUAAAUGUGCCUUUGGUCCUCCAGGGGUACUUUAGGUAUGCUAUAGCACACUACAACAUUCUGGAAUGACCGAAAAAAAAAACUCUUGAAGCAUCCAUCUUCCCUCUUUGGCAUUCCAAAACCCAAAGUAAAAACAGACGCUGGAAACAUCUGCUCUUGAGCUCUCUGUUUGUUACGAUUUUAGGUUCUUGAAAGUGAAAGUUGCUCGAGAUGGGAAAAAAGGGACACUACUUCGACUCUAAGAGAUGGGAUUUUUUGCUGAAGCAGUGCCAGUUCAUAUCUUUCAUUUCGUAUCAUGUGAGCUUUUCUAUGUUUAUAAUCUGAAGAUUAUACUUGCCCUUUUUCUGGGGAUGAUGAGUUAAACGAAUUGUCUAAUGUGUCUUGCAACACAAAUUACCUAUUUUGCAAGACCUCAAUGGUAAAUAUUUUUGUCAAAUAUUGGGUGGCUCUCUAAAGCUUCAAGGCAUUACUCAACGAACUCGAAAAAUACAGAUCAAAUCUGGCAUGACAAGGUACUCCCAGACGAGCUGAAGUUAUUACAGAAGAUGAUCCAGCGGAGUUGGCAAGCUCCAUUUGCUCCUGGAGUGCUGCCGAGUCAGAGUUUGUAUGUUAUGACUUCUGGACUUAUGUUAGAGACUUUGCAGACAGUGUCGUGGGUAUUGGUUGUCAGUCUGUAUGCGGCUUCGUCAGCCGAUAUGUCGGUUCACAAGUUUCUCUCUGUGUUAGGGACGAAAAUAAAAGGCUUGUUUCUUACUUGGAAGUUAUGUUUUCACAUUCCAGAGCCUAUAGGAUGGUUGUGGUAUGAUGUUCUUACAUGACUCUCAUAUUGGUACUUGAUUCUUGAUCCACUACCGAGUAAUAUGAACUAUGCUCUUUUUAAGGCAUCAAUCUAUUGGUAAAAUUGCUGCCUAUAUACUGAAAAUGUGUUGAGUAAACUGAUUAAUUCAUCAUGAUAUUGGAGAUUAAUCAGUAUAUAGAUUUUUAGUGGCAAUUUAAUAUGAUUUCUUGUCAGUAAAAUGUACAAGAAACCUGCAGCUUAUAUAAGUAAAGAUAAACAACAAUGGGAUUAAUGGAUAGAUUGCCUUAGCGAGUUUCCUGAAGUACUAAAGAUAAUAAAGAGCUACCUGAUCAUCUGUAAAUGUACCGCCAGUAUAUGUAACAGCAGUAUAAUACGGUGAGAGUCUCUGUAUAAUUGACACUCCCUUAAGUUAAUUUCUCCUUUCUCAACUAUAUGAAGUACUAAUUAGUGCACAAAUGAACCAAUUUUUAGUCAUUUUUUUAUUGCCAUUGCCCUUGAUCCUUCUAUUAGGUUGCAGCGAAAACUUCAAGCCAGUUCAUUCUUGCAUUUACAUUUAUAUUCAAAGUCUUUGUGGAUGCUUCUCUGCUGAGUUGAACCAUUACAACUAUUUCUUUUUAGUGUUUCAUUCCUAUUUUGCGUCAUCUUUCUUUACGCUUUCUCAGUUUCUCGAUGCAUCUGCCCUCUCUCACAAAAGGUUAGAUAUUUCUUCUGUUAUCUCCAUUUGGGUCUCCUUGACUUUAUUUGUUUUUUACUCCUUUGUUUUAUGUGUUAAUCCUUGAUUUAUAAGUGAUUUAUAUUUAUAAAGAGGUAUUAACUAGCCACAAUUCGGAAGAGACUCGUACCAGUCCAACCUGAACAGAGCUAUUUUAAGGUUUAGAAGCUUCACGCUUUGUUGUUUGCCUCUCUCCAAAAAGGAUCCGACAUGGGUGCGGCAGCAUUUUUGGAGAGUCCGAGCAACUUAGGCACUUGCAUUAUCAAUGCUCUCAAGCAGAUAAAAGUGUAAUCGUUGCCCCUUUUAUAGAAUUUGAGUGGUAAAUCCAAGCAUUUUACAUAGAACUCUUAGAUUCGCAGCUUCACUACAGGGGAAUUGCUUAGUUUUGUUAGCAAAAUGUUUGACCCCACGAAGAAAGAUAUGAAAGGGUUGAAUUUCACUAUUAUUAUCACUACUAUUAUUUUGAUAACAAUGGUUUCUUCAUGUAGUGAUUAAGGAACUUCUGUUUGCUAAAUUUAGUCCUAUGGAAACGAGAUGUUAUAUUGUUACUUCUUGUGAAGAAUUAUUUCUCAACUAAGUGUACUUCCAUAGUUUUGAACCUUUGAAGAACUUACUACUCUCUUAGGAGGUACUGCUUAAAGCAACAAUUUGAACUAGAACGUACCUCACAUAAUGGAACUUUUUUGUGUCAACAACUUGCUGUCAAGAUUCUCUCAUGUAUGAAGCAGAGGCUACACAUAGCCUUCUCAUAAGAGGCCUUUCCUCGUUGCUUGUGAUGAAGCUAUCUGCUAUUAUAAAGGAUUUUAAGUGUAUCAUAUUUGUUUAAUGCUUAAUUUCAUAUUAACUAUUUGUGAGCAAAGAAUUUAGGUUUUUAGUUGAUAUGGUAUGCUGGUGUUUCACUUGAUUUCAUUUCUUUUUUCAGAUUCUAGAAAUCAGCUGCCAAUAUUCAAAAUCCAAGCUAUUGCAACAUAUCUCAUACAUAUAAUUGAGCCACUACAAUCUUUGUUUUUGCCUUUCUAACAAGCUCCUAUACAAACUUUGUUUCACAAAUGAAUGUAAAAUUGUAUGAAGCAUAUUAUGUUAGUGUUUAGUUUAAUCAUGUUUUCUUUA
This is an RNA transcript of Lycium barbarum (goji berry), 2648 nucleotides long. RefSeq lists it as uncharacterized. The record is from RefSeq and is a predicted model, not a curated record. The transcript has 7 exons. Lineage: Eukaryota; Viridiplantae; Streptophyta; Magnoliopsida; Solanales; Solanaceae.